RNAcentral lists this ribosomal RNA (446 nucleotides) under uncultured bacterium. Its description in RNAcentral is "bacterial SSU rRNA". It matches the Rfam family "Bacterial small subunit ribosomal RNA", at positions 329 to 792 of the family's 1533-position model. The record is from RNAcentral.
AGCCAGACUCCUACGGGAGGCAGCAGUGGGGAAUAUUGCACAAUGGGGGAAACCCUGAUGCAGCGACGCCGCGUGAGUGAAGAAGUAUUUCGGUAUGUAAAGCUCCAUCAGCAGGGAAGAAAAUGACGGUACCUGACUAAGAAGCCCCGGCUAACUACGUGCCAGCAGCCGCGGUAAUACGUAGGGGGCAAGCGUUAUCCGGAUUUACUGGGUGUAAAGGGAGCGUAGACGGCAUGGCAAGUCAGAUGUGAAAGCCCGGGGCUCAACCCCGGGACUGCAUUUGAAACUGUCAGGCUGGAGUGCAGGAGAGGUAAGUGGAAUUCCUAGUGUAGCGGUGAAAUGCGUAGAUAUUAGGAGGAACACCAGUGGCGAAGGCGGCUUACUGGACUGUAACUGACGUUGAGGCUCGAAAGCGUGGGGAGCAAACAGGAUUAGAUACCCCCGUA